RNAcentral lists this ribosomal RNA (471 nucleotides) under uncultured bacterium. RNAcentral describes it as "partial 16S ribosomal RNA". It matches the Rfam family "Bacterial small subunit ribosomal RNA", at positions 28 to 507 of the family's 1533-position model. The record is from RNAcentral.
GACGAACGCUGGCGGCGUGCUUAACACAUGCAAGUCGAACGCUGAAGCUUGGUGCUUGCUCUGGGUGGUUGAGUGGCGAACGGGUGAGUAAUACGUGAGUAACCUGCCCUUGACUCUGGGAUAAGCCUGGGAAACUGGGUCUAAUACUGGAUACGACAUGUCACCGCAUGGUGGUGUGUGGAAAGGGUUUUACUGUUUUUGGAUGGGCUCACGGCCUAUCAGCUUGUUGGUGGGGUAAUGGCUCACCAGGGCGACGACGGGUAGCCGCCCUGAGAGGGUGCCGGGCCACACGGGAAUGGAAAACGGGCCGGAGCCCUGAGGGAGGGCGGCAGGGGGGAGAGUGCCACAAGGGGCGAAGCCGGGUGCAGGAAGCCCGCCUUAGGGAUGACGGCCUUCGGGUUGUAGACCUCUUUCAGCACGGAAGAAGCGAAAGUGACGGUACGUGCAGAAGAAGCGCCGGCUAACUACGUG